GGGUUGUGAGGUUAAGCGACUAAGCGUACACGGUGGAUGCCCUGGCAGUCAGAGGCGAUGAAGGACGUGCUAAUCUGCGAAAAGCGACGGCGAGGUGAUAUGAACCUUUGACCCGUCGAUGUCCGAAUGGGGAAACCCAGUGUGUUUCGACACACUAUCGUUAACUGAAUACAUAGGUUAACGAGGCGAACCGGGGGAACUGAAACAUCUAAGUACCCCGAGGAAAAGAAAUCAACCGAGAUUCCCCCAGUAGCGGCGAGCGAACGGGGAGCAGCCCGGAGUCUGAAUCAGCUUGUGUGUUAGUGGAAGCGUCUGGAAAGUCGCACGGUACAGGGUGACAGUCCCGUACACGAAAAUGCACAGGUUGUGAACUCGAAGAGUAGGGCGGGACACGUGGUAUCCUGUCUGAAUAUGGGGGGACCAUCCUCCAAGGCUAAAUACUCCUGACUGACCGAUAGUGAACCAGUACCGUGAGGGAAAGGCGAAAAGAACCCCGGCGAGGGGAGUGAAAAAGAACCUGAAACCGUGUACGUACAAGCAGUGGGAGCACCUUCGUGGUGUGACUGCGUACCUUUUGUAUAAUGGGUCAGCGACUUAUAUUCUGUAGCAAGGUUAACCGUAUAGGGGAGCCGCAGGGAAACCGAGUCUUAACUGGGCGUUAAGUUGCAGGGUAUAGACCCGAAACCCGGUGAUCUAGCCAUGGGCAGGUUGAAGGUUGGGUAACACUAACUGGAGGACCGAACCGACUAAUGUUGAAAAAUUAGCGGAUGACCUGUGGCUGGGGGUGAAAGGCCAAUCAAACCGGGAGAUAGCUGGUUCUCCCCGAAAGCUAUUUAGGUAGCGCCUCGUGAACUCAUCUUCGGGGGUAGAGCACUGUUUCGGCUAGGGGGCCAUCCCGGCUUACCAACCCGAUGCAAACUACGAAUACCGAAGAAUGUUAUCACGGGAGACACACGGCGGGUGCUAACGUCCGUCGUGAAGAGGGAAACAACCCAGACCGCCAGCUAAGGUCCCAAAGUCAUGGUUAAGUGGGAAACGAUGUGGGAAGGCACAGACAGCCAGGAUGUUGGCUUAGAAGCAGCCAUCAUUUAAAGAAAGCGUAAUAGCUCACUGGUCGAGUCGGCCUGCGCGGAAGAUGUAACGGGGCUAAACCAUGCACCGAAGCUGCGGCAGCGACACUAUGUGUUGUUGGGUAGGGGAGCGUUCUGUAAGCCGUUGAAGGUGUGCUGUGAGGCAUGCUGGAGGUAUCAGAAGUGCGAAUGCUGACAUAAGUAACGAUAAAGCGGGUGAAAAGCCCGCUCGCCGGAAGACCAAGGGUUCCUGUCCAACGUUAAUCGGGGCAGGGUGAGUCGACCCCUAAGGCGAGGCCGAAAGGCGUAGUCGAUGGGAAACAGGUUAAUAUUCCUGUACUUGGUGUUACUGCGAAGGGGGGACGGAGAAGGCUAUGUCAGCCGGGCGACGGUUGUCCCGGUUUAAGCGUGUAGGUGUGUGUUCCAGGCAAAUCCGGUUCACUUUAACACUGAGGCGUGAUGACGAGGCACUACGGUGCUGAAGUGAUAAAUGCCCUGCUUCCAGGAAAAGCCUCUAAGCAUCAGGUAACACGAAAUCGUACCCCAAACCGACACAGGUGGUCAGGUAGAGAAUACCAAGGCGCUUGAGAGAACUCGGGUGAAGGAACUAGGCAAAAUGGUGCCGUAACUUCGGGAGAAGGCACGCUGAUAUGUAGGUGAAGUCCCUGCGGACGGAGCUGAAAUCAGUCGAAGAUACCAGCUGGCUGCAACUGUUUAUUAAAAACACAGCACUGUGCAAACACGAAAGUGGACGUAUACGGUGUGACGCCUGCCCGGUGCCGGAAGGUUAAUUGAUGGGGUUAGCGGCAACGCGAAGCUCUUGAUCGAAGCCCCGGUAAACGGCGGCCGUAACUAUAACGGUCCUAAGGUAGCGAAAUUCCUUGUCGGGUAAGUUCCGACCUGCACGAAUGGCGUAAUGAUGGCCAGGCUGUCUCCACCCGAGACUCAGUGAAAUUGAACUCGCUGUGAAGAUGCAGUGUACCCGCGGCAAGACGGAAAGACCCCGUGAACCUUUACUAUAGCUUGACACUGAACACUGGUCCUUGAUGUGUAGGAUAGGUGGGACGCUUUGAAGCGUGGACGCCAGUCUGCGUGGAGCCGUCCUUGAAAUACCACCCUUUAAUGGCUGGUGUUCUAACGUAGACCCGUGAUCCGGGUUGCGGACAGUGUCUGGUGGGUAGUUUGACUGGGGCGGUCUCCUCCCAAAGAGUAACGGAGGAGCACGAAGGUUAGCUAAUCCUGGUCGGACAUCAGGAGGUUAGUGCAAUGGCAUAAGCUAGCUUGACUGCGAGAGUGACGGCUCGAGCAGGUGCGAAAGCAGGUCAUAGAGAUCCGGUGGUUCUGAAUGGAAGGGCCAUCGCUCAACGGAUAAAAGGUACUCCGGGGAUAACAGGCUGAUACCGCCCAAGAGUUCAUAUCGACGGCGGUGUUUGGCACCUCGAUGUCGGCUCAUCACAUCCUGGGGCUGAAGUAGGUCCCAAGGGUAUGGCUGUUCGCCAUUUAAAGUGGUACGCGAGCUGGGUUUAGAACGUCGUGAGACAGUUCGGUCCCUAUCUGCCGUGGGCGCUGGAGAAUUGAGGGGGGCUGCUCCUAGUACGAGAGGACCGGAGUGGACGCAUCACUGGUGUUCGGGUUGUCAUGCCAAUGGCACUGCCCGGUAGCUAAAUGCGGAAGAGAUAAGUGCUGAAAGCAUCUAAGCACGAAACUUGCCCCGAGAUGAGUUCUCCCUGAGACUAUAAGUCUCCUGAAGGAACGUUGAAGACGACGACGUUGAUAGGCCGGGUGUGUAAGCGCAGCGAUGCGUUGAGCUAACCGGUACUAAUGAACCGUGAGGCUUAACCUUACAACGCCGAAGCUGUU
RNAcentral lists this ribosomal RNA (2930 nucleotides) under Enterobacter bugandensis. Its description in RNAcentral is "bacterial LSU rRNA". It matches the Rfam family "Bacterial large subunit ribosomal RNA". Lineage: Bacteria; Pseudomonadati; Pseudomonadota; Gammaproteobacteria; Enterobacterales; Enterobacteriaceae. The record is from RNAcentral.